This 473-nucleotide ribosomal RNA is filed under the name uncultured organism. Its description in RNAcentral is "partial 16S ribosomal RNA". It matches the Rfam family "Bacterial small subunit ribosomal RNA", at positions 335 to 800 of the family's 1533-position model. The record is from RNAcentral.
ACUCCUACGGGAGGCAGCAGUGGGGAAUUUUGGACAAUGGGCGAAAGCCUGAUCCAGCAAUGCCGCGUGAGUGAAGAAGGCCUUCGGGUUGUAAAGCUCUUUUGUCAGGGAAGAAACGGUGAGAGCUAAUAUCUUUUGCUAAUGACGGUACCUGAAGAAUAAGCACCGGCUAACUACGUGCCAGCAGCCGCGGUAAUAAGUAGGGUGCAAGCGUUAAUCGGAAUUACUGGGCGUAAAGCGUGCGCAGGCGGUUUUGUAAGUCUGAUGUGAAAUCCCCGGGCUCAACCUGGGAAUUGCAUUGGAGACUGCAAGGCUAGAAUCUGGCAGAGGGGGGUAGAAUUCCACGUGUAGCAGUGAAAUGCGUAGAUAUGUGGAGGAACACCGAUGGCGAAGGCAGCCCCCUGGGUCAAGAUUGACGCUCAUGCACGAAAGCGUGGGGAGCAAACAGGAUUAGAACCCUUGUAGUCCCAUGA